GGGCAGUGCAAGAAGAAAUAACCAAGCCUCUAGAUAAUGUGCUCAAGUUAAAUUACUCGAUGUUGAUGGAUCCUUUCGGCUAAAUGAGAAGGCCAGGAGCUGGGGCUUCCAACGUGAUAGUGAUGGACCAUUUGGGCCGGUUUGAUGUAAGCACUAUUGGUCCAUGGGCUGGACUGCAGGUUACUAGCUAGUUGGGCUUUGUACUAAGAAAUUGAUGAACAAUGUUCACGAGCCCAGGCCCAGGUUUGCAGAAUCUUCCUUUUUGCUUUCUCCCAUUCCACGGCCCAUGGCGACUGUAGUCAGGCAGUCAUAUAGGUCAGUUUCCUCCUACAAUAAUACUAUACUUACACAUAUACUAUUUGAGACUUAUAUAUAUAGAAAAAAUGGAGAAAAAACUAGACAUGAAUGAGGAAAUUUGUACAAGUAAAAAAUGCACGUACUGGAUAGGUACCACAUUUUUUUUCAUUUCUGGAUCGGAGCAUAUAUAUAUGUAUGUACAACAUUUCAGUGCAGGCCACUAUUUAUACUUUGGUAGCAGGGCUCAAAGAGCUAACAGUUCAAUGAUAACCAACACAUGUAUGAAUUGGAGAGAUGAAAGUAAGUUGUACAUGAAUACGUAGUACAAUAAGUUGGAAGGUGAAAUAUAUGUAUAUGAUCAUUAUAUAUCAAAUUCAAAUAAUGUUGUAUAUACAUAUACCACAAAUCAAUAUAUCAAAUUCGAAUAAUGCCUCACAUUAUGUUGGAGCAGGUUGAAAUUCAUAUCAAACUGACCAUACAUACAACGCCUCACAUGACUUGAUCGACGACUAUUCUAACUUGUUCUCACUGAAUGCGUAUUUUUAUAUUAUGCCAACCAAGUCUAGCCAACCACGACGUACGACUGUAGGCAGUCAUAUAUAGAAAAAAAGGGAGAAAAACCUAGACAUUAAAACGCACUGGAUAGGUACCAUAUUUUUCAUUUCUGGAUCGGAGCAUGUAUAUAUGUACAACAUUUCACUGCAGGCCACUAUUUACACUAGGUAGCGCGCAGGGCUCAAAGAGCACUCCGAUGAUAACCAACGUAUGGGAGAGAUGAAUGUAAGUUGUACAUGGGUUGUACUAUAAGUUGAAGGUCAAAUAUGUAUAUGAUCAAUAUAUGUAUCAAAUUCAAAUAAUGUUGAUAUAACACAAAUAUCUAUACAUUGACAAAAAAACAUAAUCAUAUCGACAUGACAAGGUUUUUUAAUUCACAAAAAAAUAUAUGUCAAAAAUAUUGAACUAGUUAUAGAGGCAAGUAGGCAACAGGCAUGGAUUAGGAUUAUAAAUAUUAUGACUUAUAUAUGAGAAGCUAAAAUAGUAGCUUCUACCAUUUUGGCAUUUUGGGGGUACCUACGACACAGAAAGCCAAAUUAACAGGGGAUACAAUGUAUACUCAAAGUUUGUAAUCAUAUAUUCCGAUUGAAUAAAGAAUACAAUUAAUUCAAUGACGAGAUCACGAGAAUUAAAUACAAAAAUGGAGUGGUUAGUUUGAGUUUGAAUCUUUAGGGAUGUAAACAAAUAAUUAAAACAUAAGAUGAUCGACUAAUGUGAACAAUGAGAAAUAGUAGAUGAUCGAAUUUAUCAAAUGAGAGAUAUAUGAGGGCCCAUAGAAGGCCUCAAUGCAAAUGACCUGACUGGUAUGCUUAUUAUUCUCACUGAAUGACUGGAUGCACAUUUUUAUGUACUAGUGUGGACUGUAGACAAACAUAAGACUGCAGGCAGUCAUAUACAGAUCAGCUUCCUUACAGAGAGUAAAUUGUACAUGAGUAGUAAUAAACAUCGAAGGUCAAAUAUGCAUAUAUAUGAUCAAUACAUAAUAAUUAAAUUCAAAUAAUUGUGUUUAUACAUUUAUAUAUAAUCAUAUCAACAUAAUAACAUCCUCAAUGACAAUGUUUUUUAAUUAACAAAAACUAAGAUUUAUAUGUUAAAAACAUUAAACUAUAGGCAGGCAUGCAUCAGACAUUGCUAUGAGAAGCUCAGAUAGGUCCUAGUAUAUAUACCAUUUUGGGGGCACAGGACAUCUGCAGCCGACUGAAAUGAAAGCCUAACUGACAGGGAUCCAAAUAUACACUCAACUUUGUAAUUAAUCUGAUUGAAUGGACUACAAUCAUCAAUAGUUCUGUAUGUGAUGAAUGAAAUAUAACGAAAUGGAGUGGUUAGUUUGAGUUUGGAUAUUAAUCUUAGGGCUGUCAAAAAUUGAAACAUGUGGUCGCAUCUAGCUAGCCGUGCGCGCGAGUGCACGAAACGGCCGGCGAUGAUACUGCACUAAUUAAUGUGAGCAAUGAGAAAUGCUAGACAUAUCGAUCAAAUAUAUGUGUGUGUGUGUGUGUGUGUGUGUGAGAGAGAGAGAGAGAGAGAGAGAGAGAGAGAGAGAGAGAGAGAGAGAGAGCGAGAGAGAGAGAUGUAUGAGGGCCAUGCUUGGCACCUCGCACGCCAGCCGCAGCGGCCACCGAGAUCGAUCGAUGAUCUUGGGGUGGUAGCCGUGCGAGUGGCAUACAGGGAGCCAGGCAUAUUCCCUAGCUUUCACCUCUUCCUCCACCUCCAUGUCCUGUGCCGCGCGCCAUUGCUUGCUUGCUUAUACACCUUCCAAUAAUGUGCCAUGGCAUACAAGCGCCCUCAUAUUCUUUGUUUCCUCUAGCUCCCCUUGCAAGCUCAUAUGGCGCACACACGCAUAUCUGAACUAGAACUACACACGGCGAGGGAGAGAUCGAAUAAUGGAAAAUGGAGACUAGCUAGCUCGCUUAGAGGAAGACGAUGAAGCUUGUUGAGGCUGUUGAGUGAUGGUGUUGUUUGGCAAGAAGUUGCAUAUAUAUAUAUAGCUCCCGGCCCCAGGGUGGAGGUGAGGUCCCCCAACAUGCAUGCAUACCCUGC
Molecule: long non-coding RNA, 2889 nt
Filed under: Sorghum bicolor (sorghum)
Lineage: Eukaryota; Viridiplantae; Streptophyta; Magnoliopsida; Poales; Poaceae
Description: long non-coding RNA (SBIC_LNC001918)
Source: RNAcentral